UACGGAGGGUGCAAGCGUUAUCCGGAUUCACUGGGUUUAAAGGGUGCGUAGGCGGCUUUAUAAGUCAUUGGUGAAAGCUCGCAGCUUAACUGCGAAACUGCCAUUGAAACUGUAAAGCUUGAAUGUGGUUGAAGUGGGCGGAAUACAACAUGUAGCGGUGAAAUGCUUAGAUAUGUUUUAGAACACCGAUUGCGAAGGCAGCUCACUAAGCCAAUAUUGACGCUGAGGCACGAAAGCGUGGGUAGCAAACAG
This 252-nucleotide ribosomal RNA is filed under the name uncultured bacterium. RNAcentral describes it as "partial 16S ribosomal RNA". It matches the Rfam family "Bacterial small subunit ribosomal RNA", at positions 524 to 775 of the family's 1533-position model. The record is from RNAcentral.